Molecule: long non-coding RNA, 10717 nt
Filed under: Olea europaea subsp. europaea
Lineage: Eukaryota; Viridiplantae; Streptophyta; Magnoliopsida; Lamiales; Oleaceae
Source: RNAcentral
AUUAUAACCUGGAAAGUAUAAUUGUUCCCAUCACAUCGUAAUGAGUCUUCUCUGUGGCCAAAACUAGAAGCAUAAUAGAAAUAUUUUGUAUGUCUGGGAGAGUUUUUGUGCUUCUAUGUGAGCUAAUAUAUGUUUUAAGUAGACAUGUAAAAGUGAAGCCCUUGGAAGAUGUAGUCUCCACAAGCUUGUGUUUUCAGUGUACUGCAAUUUCUAGCUUUUGAUUUGGAGCCAAAAUAUUCUGAUUGCGCUUGAAAGUAUGCAAAGAAUCUUAAUUUCACCUUUUCUUGUUUAGCAUCUGAACUACUUCGGUCGAUUCAUAUCUGUAUCCAGUCGCAUGCUUCAUACAUUUUUUUUCUCAUUUCUGCCUUCUUUUGUCCCUUUUCCAACAGAGAGCAGGCGAUCUGCUAUUGAUAUUUUCCUUAAGGCUGCCGGUUACCUUGACUGUGCAGUCCGGCAUGUUCUUCCCCAAUUGCCUUCUGAACACAGGUAUCUUGAUAAUGACUUUUGAUUAGCAAUUAGAAUCAUCUCCAUGAACCGUGGGAUCACCCUUUGACCAUAUGCAUUAGGAGAAAUCUACCUGUGGACCUUGCAGAAGGUGUUCUACGAGCACUUUGCCUCCAAGCGUUGGGCCAGGUAUUCACAUAUCAAGCUUUUGAUGGGUACCUGGACUAGAUUUGGGUUUUUCUGUUUAUGAUGCUGCAUAAAUUAGACCACCAGAAAGAAAUGAAAAUGGCAAAUAUUUUCAUAAAAAUAUAUCAGCAUCUGUUGGUGUCUUCCCAAUUUUUGAAUAGUCUAUCAUUAACAAUAUAAAACAUGACAGUGUUGAUUGCUAUAAGAGGAUAUUCAAUUGAAUUGUGCUCAUAAACAUUGCAGAAAUUUUGUGUUACCAAAGCUAUGGUCACAAGUCAACAUCUUUGGUGACUUGAAAUUUUACAUGUGUGCGAGGUCACUCCAAAUGACAGGGAUAUAAUAGAGCUUUGAAAGGAUUUUACAAGAAAAUGUUAAUGAAUCAAUUAUUUCUUAAACAAUUGGCUAAAACAUUUCAUGUGAUUACUUGGGUAGAAACUUUCGCCAAAGCAUGUUAGACUUUUCAUACAGUCACUUUAUGUUGCCUAGUGUUAUUUAUGUAGUUAGGAUUGUGAUAAAACCUGAGAAAAUGUCACUUCACCCAACACACUUUAAUGUAACUAAAGACAGAAAAUGAGUUCAAUAUUUCAUAUAUGAACAUUGAUUACACGGAAUUAAAGGAUAACAAUUCUGAUAAUGCAAAAUGAAAGGAAAGAAAUAACGAGGAUAACUAUGGACGUUUGAGAGGUCCACUACUCUCCCAAUGAGUAACAAUUUCAGCCUGGUAUUCCAUAUUCUGUUGCCUCUAUUUAUAAGCUGUAGCCCAUGAAACUUCCUAACAGAUUUCCCUAACCAUACAACUGCUGCACGUGCCUUCUCUUCCCUGGUUAAUUCCCUUACUGCCCGUGCUUACUUUGCUGCGUCUCUGGUACCUCAAUCUGAUUUCGGGUCUAUCAUCACUUCCCCCCAUGAGAUCCACCUUGUCCUCAAGGUGGAAGGUAGGGAAUUGCUGUUUCAUCAAGUCAUAGGACUCCCAAGUAGCUUCUAAGAGUUUCCAUUGGAUUAAGACAUCCAAGCCUCUGAUGUUGGAUCCCACAGCUGGUCUCACUCCCAAUAAUGCCUCCGGUUCUACCAGCAUCUCUAAUUCAUCACUUAAUUUCUGGGGUACUUCCUUCACAGCUUGUAUAGCUCCCACAGCUCUGCGCAACUGGGAAACAUGGAAAACAGGAUGAAUGUUGCAGGUAGGCGGUAAGGCCAGCUUAUACGCAACUGAUCUAAUUUUCUUCUCUACAGUAAAAGGUCCAUAAAAUCUCGGAGAUAGCUUUUCAUUUGGUCUCGCGGACAAGGUUUUGCGACGAUAUGGUCUGAUUUUCAGAUAAACCAGAUCGCCUAUCUCAAACUGCACCUCUCUUCUUUUUUUAUCUGCCAGGUCCUUCAUUUUCAUUUGAGCCCGCAACAGUUGUGCUUUCAGUUCCUCUAACAUGUGAUCCCUUUCUUGUAACUGUUGGUCUAGAGCUGAUAUGGAUGUGGAUCCAUUUUCAAAUCGCAAUAAUACUGGUGGCUCGCGCCCAUACACUGCUUGGAAAGGGGUGAUCUUGGCUGUAACAUGAUAAGAAGUGUUGUAACACAGACCAGCCCAAGGUAGCCAAUUGAACCAUGAUCUAGGCUAAGAAGAUGCAAAGCACCUCCGAUAGGUUUCUAGAACGCGGUUCAAUACUUCCAACUGCCCGUCCGACUGAGGGUGGUAAGCUGUACUUCGAUUAAGCUUUGUUCCUUGUAAACGAAACUCCUCCUCCCAAAAAUGGCUCACAAGUUUCUUAUCCCUAUCUGAAACUAUGGAAUGGGGCACCCCAUGUAGUCGCACAACCUCUUUAACAAAAAUUCCAGCCACACCUGCCAUUGUAAAAGGGUGCUUUAGGCCUAUAAAAUGGCCAUAUUUACUCAAUCGGUCUACAACCACUAGUAUUGUAUCCAUGGAGCCUGAUUUAGGAAGGCCUUCAAUGAAAUCCAUAGCUAUAUCCUCCCAUACCUUAUUAGGAAUUGGAAGAGGUUGCAGCAACCCCCUUGGUGAUAGGGCUAAGUAUUUGUUCUGUUGGCACACCGUACAUCUGCUAACAUAACUGUGUAUCACAAACUUCAUACCUUCCCAAUAAACAUUUGCAGCAAUCCUCUUAUAAGUUUUAAGGAAGCCAGAAUGACCUCCCACUUUACUGUCAUGCCCCUCAUGUAGCAUUAAAGGAAUCAAGGUUGAUUGUUUUGGCUGUAGCAGUCGACCCUUGAAUAACAAUUGUCCAUUUACAAUUGCAUACUCGGGAUGGCUGGUAGGAUCUUACUCCAAUUCUUGAACAAUACGAAGUAACUGAGGAUCUUCUCUCACCUCUUUUGUUAAUAUGUCCAACUGUAAUACCGACGGUAUGGAUAAAGUCAUCAACAAAACAGAUGAAUUGACUCGGGAAAGUGCAUCGGCUGCCUUGUUUUCACAUCCCGGUCGAUAUUGAAUUUCAAACUGGUACCCCAUUAGUUUAUGUAGCCAUUUCUGAUAUUCUGGGUUUACCUCCCUUUGUUCUAACAAGAAUUUCAAGUUCUUUUGAUCGGUUCUCACAUAAAAUUUAUGCCCCAGUAAAUAGUGUCUCCAUUUUUGUACUGCGAACGCCACAGCCAUCAACUCCCUCUCAUAUGCUGACUUCACCCUUCCAUUUGGCUUAAGGGUGUGACUAUAAAAUGCAAUGGGGUGCUGGUCUGGCAUCAAAGCUGCCCCUAGGCUGGACCUUGAUGCAUCAAUUUCUAUAACAAAAGGCCGGCUAAAGUCUAGAAGUGCAAGGACUGGCAAGGACAUCAUGGCCGUUUUUAGCCUCUGAAAUGCCUGCUCCGCUGCCUCAUCCCAAAAAAAAUUUCCCCUGCGUAAUCUCUCCGUUAAGGGCCACGCCAUCUUACCAUAAUCCUUCACGAACCGGCGAUAGUAGCGUGUCAGCUCUAGGAACCCACGAAGUUCUGUUAAUGAUCUGGGAGUCGGCCAUUUCAACAUUGCUUGAAUUUUUGACUAAUCAGCGGCUACACCCCGUGAUAUGAUGUGCCCCAAAUAUUCUAUCUCUUCUUACCCAAAACUACAUUUCUUGUGAUUGUCAUACAAUUGAUGUUGCGAUAGUAUUCCCAAGACACACUUUAAAUGCUCCACGUGCUCUUCCAGAUUAUGGCUAAACACCAAAAUAUCAUCGAAGAAUACUAACACAAAUUGCCUCAAUUGCUCUUUAAACACCUCAUUUAUAAGCGAUUGAAAAGUGGCAGGCGCAUUAGUCAGCUCGAAAGGCAUCACCAGAAAUUCAAAAUGCCCUUCGUGCGUCCUAAAAGCCGUUUUAGGAAUGUCCUCAGGUUUCACCCGAAUUUAAUGAUACCCCGCCUUCGGGUCUUAGAGAAAAUGGCUGCCUCGUGCAAUUCAUCCAAUAAUUCAUCUAUCAUUGGAAUGGGAAACUUAUCCAACACUGUUACCUUGUUCACCGCUCUAUAAUCCACACAAAAGCGCCAUCCCCCAUCUUUCUUUCUCACUAGCAAAACUGGACUGGAGAAUGCACUAUUGCUUGGUCGGAUUAUCCCCGUUGCUAACAUUUCCUUCACCAACUUCUCUAUAUCAUUUUUCUGCAGGUGUGGAUAACGAUAAGGCCUCACGCUAACUGGUUCUAUCCCAGGAUGAAGAUUGAUCGCGUGAUCCUUUCCCCGCCAUGGUGGCAGCCCCACGGGCUCUGCAAACACUUCUUCAAACUCCUUCAAGACUUCCCCAACUUGGGCUAGAAUUUUUCGUUCCCCUUUUUCCUCUUCAAUUCCCAAACUUCCCAGGAGUAUUCCUUCCCCCCUUCCCUGAAUGCUUUCAUCAUCGCCUUCAGAGUGACUACAAUCUUACUAAGACUAGGAUCCCCUUGCAAGGUAACGAUGUUCCCACCUGAUCGAAAUUUCAUCGUAAGAGAUUCCCAGUCCACCUUCGUUGGGCUCAAGGUGGACAACCCCUUCAUUCCCAGGAUUACGUCGGAGCUCCCUAAUUCCAAAGGGAGGAAAUCCUCCACCACCUCCAAGUUUUGAAGGAAUAAUUUUACUCCCUUGCGUACCUCUGCCCCUUGGACAGCCAGCCCCGUUCCCAUGACUACCCCAUAACUCAAUGUCUCGGUUCUCAACAAACCCAAUUUUUGCACUAAGUUUGCCGACACGAAGUUAUGGCUGGCCCCGCAAUCGAUUAAAACCACCACUUCCUCUGCCUGAAUUUUUCCUUUAAUCUUCAUGGUCUGUGGCGGAGUAAGCCCUACCACUGAGUUUUAAGGAUAAUUCCACUACCUCCCAUUCAUCAGAUUUUUCCCCUUCAUUCGACGCCUUUGCUACUAUUUCUUCCCCCUACUGCUCGUCUCUUUGUUCAUCAAAUAUCAACAUUACCUGCAACUCUUUGUUUUUGCAUUUGUGCCCGAUUGAGUACUUUUCGUCACAACGAAAACAUAGUCCUCUCUCCUUCUUACUCCUCAACUCAGCUUCGCUGAGUCGUUUAAAUGGCGGGGGAACUGCUCCGAUGGGCAAGGCAGCUCCGGCACCUGCUCGCGAAGUUGUCAAUUUUUUGUUAGGGUUUGGGCAAUUGUACUGGUUCUGUCGUGAUGAAUUGAAGGACCAAUUGAGGCUGUUACUUGUUUUCCCUUUAGUUGGGCCUGAACCGACUACAGCUUGCAAGGCCAAAUUCUUUUCUUCAAUUCGUUGGGCCAAUUCCAUGAUCCGGUCCAAUCCUUUGGGCUAUAUGACUCUAAUUUCGACUCUUAUUUUUGGGCUCAACCCAUUUAUGAAAUGGCCCUCUAGCAUAGCCUCUGAGAUAUUCUCGAUCAGCACCACUAGAGUCUCAAACGCGAUUCUGUACUCCCCAACCGACCCUUCUCACCGGAGGGCCAAAAAAGGCUCCUCUAUAGUCCCCUCCAUGGAUGACCUGAAUCGAGUUCGCAUUAGCAAUUUAAGUUCCUCCCAACUUCGUACGCCUCUUCUCCUUUGCUCCCAUUGGUACCAUGCCAAAGAGUUCUCCUCGAAACAUAGGGCUGUCGUUUCCAAUUUCUUCGCCUCAGUUAAUUGGUUCACCUGGAAAUAGUGUUCGGCUCUAAAGAUCCACUCGUCUGGGUUCUUCCCCAGAAAUACCGGCAUUUCUAACCUCCUUCCUCUAACCUCCUGCCUCCAAUUUUCGCCGGCAAUGCCCCCUUCUCCUCGGUUUUUCAUUUCUAGGUCCGAGAUAAUCUCAGACUGCAUGGUAUACUCUGACUCCUUUGUUUCUUCUUGGCCCUUUCCCUUCCUUUCUCUCUCUGUUUCAUCCCAUUUUGACCUCAUAAAUGUGAAUUGUUCUGAAAUAAUCGCCAUAUUCUUCUCAAUGUUUUGCAUUCUAUGCAUCUCUGCUUGCAUCCUUGUAAUGCCAUGUUGCAUGUCUUCCACCUGCUCUUGCAAUUUCUGAUGAGCCCCUUCCAAACUCCCUACCUGCUCUGUUACAUUCACCAUCUGGAUUGGAAUUGCUCUAAUACCAAUGAUAGAAACUGAGAAAAUGUCACUUCACCCAACACACUUUAAUGUAACUAAAGACAGAAAAUGAGUUCAAUAUUUCAUAGAUGAACGUUGAUUACACGGAAUUAAAGGAUAACAAUCUGAUAAUGCAAAAUGAAAGGAAAGAAAUAACAAGGAUAACUAUGGAAGUUCGAGAGGUCCACUACUCUCCCAAUGAGUACCAAUUUCAGCCUGGUAUCCCAUAUUCUGUUGCCCAUGAAACUUCCUAACAGAUUUCCCUAACCAUGUAACUGCUGCACGUGCCUUCUCUUCCCUGGUUAAUUCCCUUACUGCCCUUGCUUACUUGCUGCGUCUCUGGCACCCCAAUCUGAUUUUGGGUCUAUCAGAUUGUUAGUGUUGGUACAAUGCAAAAGUCAAUUGGAAGUGGGGGGAACUAUGUAGUACAUUGUGGUUUUUUGAGAUCCAAUUUGGUCAUCGCCUAGAAUGUUCUUCGAUUCAGUGGAGUUGGCAAGGAUGUUAUAAGUUGGUAGAUUAAUCGAUCAGUUUCAGACAGAUGGUAACUAUUGGACUGGUUUACAAUGUCUGGACUGCUGGCUUAGAACUUUGGGUGGUAAUGCAUGAGUUGGAGGCUUAGUUUAGUUUCUUCUGAACUUUAUGACUGUUAACCUUUGUCAAUUACACGUGUUAUGAUUAUGUUUUACUAUCUUCGACACACAUAAAUAAACAUUUAUCUGAUGCUCGUUUGAGGUGAGCAACAGUGCCUGCUUCAUGAUAAUUGGAUUUAUAGUCUAGCCUGCGAUGUUAUAGCUCCAACACAAUGCAUGAGUUGGUGUCUUCAUUUUUAGUUUAUUUUGGACUUAUGGCUUUUUUGCCUGCGUCAGAUUAUUUAAUUACUUGCUUUUGAUGCUCAUUUAAGGUGAAUCACCUAAUCUUUCUAUUGCUUGACAUCUUCUCGUUCUCUUGAGUAGGGUGUUGAUAUUCAACUUGGACUAGCAAUUGACAGUACAAAGGCCACAUUAGCUGUGAAGCGAAGGCUUGCAUGUGAGAUGGUAAAAUAUUGGCAGCAGGUAACCCUUCUCUUUGUCUGUAUGCUUGACCAAACAAAAACCAGUUAAAAUUAUUUGAGAAGUUAUAUUUAUAUUCUCUCUCUCUCUCUCUCUCUCUCUCUCUUCUUCUUCUUCUUCUUCUUCUUUUUUUUUUUUUUUUUUUUUUUUUUUGUGUGCGUGCGUGCUUAUUAUUACCUCCAGGCUUCUUUGAUGUUCAAAGUCUCUUAUAGCUAAUGGACUCUUUUUUCCUUUUUCUUUUCAACUGCUUAUAGAGAAUGUUGAGAAAUUUCGUCAUUCUAACCUUCUCAUCCUGCUUGCUCUUGUCAUCCUAAUUAUAAUCUGCUGCUAAACGCCCAUUACUAAUUUUAUUUUCUCUUGUGCUCUUGAUUAUAGAAGUGGCUAAAUAUUGAAUAGAUUUGAUUUUGUGGUAACAAUAUCCUUUAGUAAAGAUUUACACUUUAUUCAUUUCUCUAUGUUAAGAAAUAUUAAUUUUAAUCAUUAAGCCCUAACCUAAAAUGGUCUAAUUCAGCUAAAAAUCUCAUCAUUAUUGUCGAAUUUCACUCAAAAUUGCAGAUUAGUGGCAAUGGAAUUAUCCAGGAAUAUCUGAAUCAGAGACUCGGUUUUAUGAAUGUGAAGUCUAGACUUCACGGUUUCACCUAAUCAGCUUCGUUUCAGCCGUUGCUACUAAAUAUUGCAUCUCAUUUUUGUUCCUGAAUUUUUUCAACUGCAGGUAUUAGAUCCAUAGUGGCUAUAAAUUACAUAGCCAAUAUAGAAUCAGUGUAAUGCUCAGUUCAAGCUUUGAGACAACUAUUGAAUUAUUUAAUUAAAUAUACACAGUAUUAGAAUGUUGCUAAAAUAUAAGUGGAUUUGGAUGUGUAAAGGCCAUCAUCUGAUGUGGUCUAAUAAUUAAAAAUUUCUUUGUUGUACGGAGAGCUCUUUGAUACGAAUAGACUUUGUUGGAGAUGUGCCAGACGCUGCAGAACAUUGUGCACUAGAACUCUGUCCACAAAUCCACUCUCAUAGUACAAAGGACACACUUGAAUCAAAUGCGGAGUCAGAUUAUUUUGUCUCACAACAAAAAUACUUUUUAUAAUUAGCAAAUUUGAAUGUCAUCAAAUAUUUUUACUCGAUUUUCAUUUUAGGAUUCUUACUUGUUUCAUUUACUCUGACCUCAACAAGUUGAUUAUCACAUAUUAGACAGGUUUAAGCACUGAAGUGAACUUAAAACCAAUAAUGGUCUUCUGUCACUUUGUAGGCUCAAGAUAACCUCAUGAACCUACCAUUGGCAAAUGGAUGGGGAGAAAAGCAUAGGUUCUUUGUGAAGUGGAAAUACGUUGAAGCUAAGGUAUCUUGUUUGUAUUUCUCUCACUUUAUUUGACACUUUCAAGAAGCAGUUCUUAUAUUAUUAGCAAGUGCCUUGCAAGUAGGAACUUAAUCUAAAGUUACUGGGUGCAUAACUACUAUGGUCUCUUGUACCUCAUUCCCCGGUCUUGCAAGUUGAUGAUAUGAAAAGUAACGACAGAGUGACUACUAUGAUUUUUAACUUAACAUUUACUUUCUGAGGUUUGGAUAGGUAAAUAUUCAUAAAAAUUUGAUAAUUGGGAUGAGUAUGAUUUAAUCUGACCUAUAACGAGUCUUCAUCAGCAUGCUUGUGAAUUUGAAGCUCAAAUUGAUGCAAGAAUUUCAUGUUCCUUAGGCCGCAGCAUAUUACUAUCAUGGUCUGAUUCUUGAUGAGGGAAACACAGAAAAGUCUCAUGGAAUGGCUGUAGCUGCUCUGCAAGCAGCGGAUGAGUAUCUCAAAGAAAGCAAGAAGGCUUGUGAAACUUUUAAUUCAUCCGUUCCUGUCUCUAGGUAAUGUUGUGCUCACUUUCCAACUGCUUCCAUGUUACAAAUGGGAUCGCUUGUCAAUUUCUUUCUUUAUUCAUAUUAAUUACUCAGAAAUACAUGUGUACCUUCUGUUUCAUUAUAUAACAUCGAGAAAUCUGAGAAAAUGGAGAUUCAAAAGAGAUCAGACCACACCAUUUAUGAUAGCUGUAAUUUACUCCUGUUUUGGUCCUCCAUAAGAAUUUGGUUAGGAACAUUUGAAAGGUAGCUUCUAGAACUGAGGUAUACAAAUAUAUAAGCCUUUGGAAUGGUUAUUUAUUUAUUUAUUAUUUCUUUUAAAGCUAUUUAUAGACAGUAAUUUCUUAUUUGUGUCCAUGUAGCAUGAACUAUAGCAAAUAAUGUUAGUAUUUAUUUUUUCCUAUCAGUGUACUGUAAAAAAAUGAGAUGGCAGAAAGAAAAAGCAUUGUAUAUCUUUGCAUGCUUUUGGCAUCUGUUUGGUCCUCCUAGUUUUACAUCUAUCCAUGUGACAUCUCCAUUUUUACCGAUUUUGCCUAAGAUCCAAUUUUAAAUGAAGAAAACAACAUUUUUCUACUUAAUCACGUAACAAUUUUUUAAGAUUGAAUAAUAGGUUAGUGUACAUUACAUUACGACUAAAGAUGAUCUUGAUGGCUCUGAGAAUCAGUAAAUUCUUAUUUCUGAUGCAGGAAUCCACCUCUUUGGGGAACAAUGAAGUAUCUCUCAGAGAAGAUUCCCAAGGACACUUCUAGCAAGGUCCGAAUUAACAGGGAUCUAUACUCUAGUGAAAAGUAAGUCUUCUUUAGUAUUAUAACUCCAAAAAAUACAAGUCAUUCAUGCACGUAUAUCAGCAUAGAUGUUAUACAAAUAUGGUGGUGGGGCUGCAACUCUUACGUUAACAACAGGAAAACAGUGAACCAGUUGAGCAGAAAUUUUUGGGGUCUUUGUUCACGGAAUUUAAUAGAUAUUCUUGCCUAACCACAUGGAAGCAAGGUUGGGUCUUGUCUAAUGUAAACUAAUUCUUUUGAAUGUAGAAUUAUGGAGACAGCACCAACUUUGCCUGACUUUGCAUUGGCUCUGAAACCUGAUGAAUAUCAGCUUCCUAUUGUUGAUGCAUUUUGGAAUGAGGAAACAAACAAGGCCCAAGUCAACCACGAGAAGCUUAAAGGGUAGCUUUGCACGGGUUCCACACAUAUCAAACUCUGAAAAAAUACAUGUCUGCAAAUGCAAUGGUACAUGCUGUUCAUAGACGAGGAAGGGUUGUAGAAGAAUUACCAAUCAAUUUUUUGGUUAAUUUGCAUCCCAAAGGUCCAUCCUCUUCUCUUUGGCUUUUCCAUUUCCCCCCCCUUUUGAUCUUCUUGUUAAUUGAAUCGUUUUGUAUCAUUUCCUACAAAUGUGUAAUAAUCCCCCCGUGAGAAAGAUUUGUACAACGACCUUUUAUGUUUACUUUUAACACUGGAGGGAAAGGAUAAAGAAUGAAUUUAUUUGCCAACGUAAAAAAUUCUUUUUCCUGUUGUCGUAGUUCAUAAAAAAUAAGUCGAUAAGAACUCUUAGCUCACUCGUCUGUACUCAAAACAGCUUAGUCUCGCCUUGGUGUGAGUUGAUAAAAAAAAAAGGCUAAUUGUUGAAUCCUUUUCAUCUGGUGUACAUAAUUAGCUAAGAAGAAGUGCAAUACAGUUGUUUACUUGCACGUUGGGGUACAGCAACACAAGGCAUCCAAGUGAUUAUCACACGCAACAAUCACAGAAACAUGCAUUUGU